RNAcentral lists this transfer RNA (73 nucleotides) under Nonlabens ulvanivorans. RNAcentral's name for it is "tRNA-Ala". It matches the Rfam family "tRNA". From Rfam's summary of the family: Transfer RNA (tRNA) molecules are approximately 80 nucleotides in length. Their secondary structure includes four short double-helical elements and three loops (D, anti-codon, and T loops). The record is from RNAcentral. Lineage: Bacteria; Pseudomonadati; Bacteroidota; Flavobacteriia; Flavobacteriales; Flavobacteriaceae.
GGGGGAUUAGCUCAGCUGGCUAGAGCGCUGCCUUGCACGCAGGAGGUCAUCGGUUCGACUCCGAUAUUCUCCA